UCCUUUUAUCCUAUGA
This 16-nucleotide small RNA is filed under the name Arabidopsis thaliana (thale cress). Its description in RNAcentral is "ATSL008450". The record is from RNAcentral. Lineage: Eukaryota; Viridiplantae; Streptophyta; Magnoliopsida; Brassicales; Brassicaceae.